CAUAGGCCCCAUAGAACCCCAUAGGCCCCUAUAGAACCCCAUAGGCCCCUAUAGAGCCCCAUAGGCCCCUAUAGGCCGCAAUGGGCCUCACCUCGGCGAUGCGCUGCCGUAGCAGCUCCAUGUGCUCCCGUUGCCGCUCCCGUUUCUUCAUGAGCUGCAGCGCCCGCCCCGCUUCACUCGCCGCUCCCUUGUACUGCGCCAUCUUGGAUCCAGUACCGACACCGGAAACCGGAACCGGAAAUAACACACCCCCCUCUUAUAGCCUUAAGUGCGUCAUUUACGUGCGACGCGAUGGGAGUGGGAAGCGGAAGUGCGUCAUUAAAGUGAGACGCGACGAGGGGUCGGAAGCGGAAGUAGCUUCUGAAGCGGAAGUGCGUCAUUACUGAGACCCUUUCCCUAUAACGACAUCCCAUUGGAGGAGCUGUUGGUUUGGGCCCCGCCCACUUCCGGUGGCUUUAUCCAAUAGGAAGGAAGGAUUUGUCCCCGCCCCCUUUCCCGUGGCUUUAUCCAAUCAGAGUGAGUCCCUUUUUAUCCCCGCCCACUUCCGAUCUGAUUAUCCAAUCAGAGUGGCUCCUUUUGUCCCGCCCUUUUCCAGUGGCUUUAUCCAAUCAGAACGCAGCCUUUUAGCCCCGCCCCUCUUUUUGCCUUCAUCCAAUCGAAUCACAGCAUCCCAUUUAAGCCCCGCCCCUCCACCCAACGGGCUCCUCUGAUUGGACGAAUCGCCCUUUGGCUCCACCCACUUUUAGCCCCGCCUCCUCCCCCUUAAUGGCCUUCUCCGAUUGGUCGAUGUCCCGUCCCGUCCCCGUUAUUUGAUUGGAUCGUUUCCCUUUAGCCCCGCCCACUUGGGGCGGCUUUUAUUGGACACGGCACACAAUAAAUAGGGGGAGGGGCGAUAGGGGGCGCUAUAGGGCACACAUAGGGAUCUAUGGGGCACAUAUGGGGGUCUAUGGGGCACAUAUGGGGCACGUAUGGGGGUCUAUGGGGCAGAUAUGGGGCAGACCCAGCUGUCUAUGGGGCAGAUAUGGGGGUCUAUGGGGCGCUAUGGGGCACACAUAGGGAUCUAUGGGGCACAUAUGGAGUCUAUGGGGCACAUAUGGGGGUCUAUGGGGUAGAUAUGGGGCACAUAUGGGGCAGCUAUGGGGCACAUAUGGGGCACAUAUGGGGACAUAUGGGGGUCUAUGGGCACAUAUGGGAUCUAUGGGGCAGAUAUGGGGCACAUAUGGGGCACGUAUGGGGGUCUAUGGGGCAGAUAUGGGUGUCUGUGGGGCAGACCCAGCUGUGGGGCACACAUAGGGGUCUAUGGGGCGAUAUGGGGGCGAUAUGGGGCAGAUAUGGGGGUCUAUGGGGCAGAUAUGGGGCAGAACCCAGCUGUCUAUGGGGCAGACUGGCUAUGGGGCAGCUAUUGGGGCACGUAUGGGGCAGAUAUGGGGGUCUAUGGGGCGCUAUGGGGCAGACCCAGCAAGUCUAUGGGGCAGCCCUAUGGGUCUGGCUAUGGGGCAGCCCCACAGAUCCCUCUAUGGGGCAGCCCUAUUGGUCCCGCUAUGGGGCAGCCCCACAGAUCCCCAUCUCUAGGUCCCGCUAUGGGCAGCCCCACAUCUCCCCCCAUUACUUCCCCUAUGGGUACAUGCAAUGUGGUCCCACUAUGGGUCCUGGCUAUGGGUCCUGCUAUGGUCUGGCUAUGGGGCAGCCCCACAGAUCCCCCUCUAUAGGUCCCGCUAUGGGUCUGGCUAUGGGCAGCCCCACAGAUCCCACUAUAGGUCCCACUAUGGGCAGCCCUAUGGGUCUGGCUAUGGGGCAGCCCCACAGAUCCCACUAUAGGUCCCACUAUGGGGCAGCCCUAUGGGUCUGGCUAUGGGGCAGCCCUAUGGGUCCUGCUAUGGGUCCAUCUAUGGGUCAGCCCCACAUCUCCCCCCAUUACUCCCCUAUGGGCACAUGCAAUGUGGGUCCCCGUGGGUCAUCGAAUCGAUCCAUGGGGCGGAGGCGGAGCAGCAGCGCCCCCCCAUGGACAGACACCGCCAUCAACAGCAGCGACCAGCAGCAGCCCCAUAGAGGAACCCACAGAUAGAAAGGAAGAGCAAUCGAGGCACCCAAAAAGCCAAGCCGGAUACAUUUGAAAUGGCUGCACCUAAAGGAAGGGGAGAGGGUUCAUUAGUGCCCAUUAAUUAGUUAAUUAGCGCUAAUUAAGAGCCGUUAAUUAGGCAAUCAAUGGACCCCCCCUUCCCCUCUGAAAUGAAUGAGGAGCAAUCUGAGGCCCCCCAACAAUGAAGGCCUGGAUACAUUGAAUGGCUGCACCUAAAGGAAGGGGAAGAGGGUUCAUUAGUGCCCGGUAAUUAUUAAUUAGCGCUAAUUAAGACCCAUUAAUUAGCAAUGAUUGGACCCCCCCCCCCUCUUCCAUUGAAAUGAAUGAGGAGCAAUCUGAGGCCCCAAACAAUGAAGCCUGGACACAUUGAAUGGCUGCACCUAAAGGAAGGGGAAGAGGGUUCAUUAGUGCCCGUAAUUUAGUUAAUUAGCGCUAAUUAAAAACCCAUUAAUUAGGCAAUCAAUGGGACCCCCCCCCCUUCUCCCAUUGAGAUGAAUGAAGUCUGAUGCCCCCCCCAAAGCAAAGGCCGGACACAAUUGAAUGGCUGCACCUAAAGGAAGGGGAGAGGGUUCAUUAAUACCCAGUAAUUAGUUAAUUAGUCCUAAUUAAGACCAUUAAUUAGGCAAUAUCAAUGGACCCCCCCCCCCCUUCCCCCAUUGAAAUGAAUGCAAUCUGAUGACCCCAAUAAUGAGGCCUGGAUGAGGCCCCCAACAAUGAAGCCUGGACCACAUUGAAUGGCUGCACCUAAAGGAAGGGGAGAGGGUUCAUUAGUGCCCAGUAAUUUAGUUAAUUAGCGCUAAUUAAGACCCAUUAAUUAGGCAAUCAAUGGACCCCCCCCCUCUUCCCAUUGAGAUGAAUGCAAUCUGAGGACCCCCAUAAUGGAGCCUGGAUGAGGCCCCCCAACAAUGAAGCCUGGGAUACAUUGAAUGGCUGCACCUAAAGGAAGGGGAGAGAUUCAUUAGUGCCGGUAAUUAGUUAAUUAGUCCUAAUUAAGACCCAUUAAUUAGCGAAUGAAUGGACCGCCCCCCCCCCUUCCCCCAUUGAGAUGAAUGAAGACUGAGGACCCCCCAUUGAAAUGAAUGAAGUCUGAUGCCCCCCCAAAAGCGAAGGCCGGACACAUUGAAUGGCUGCACCUAAAGGAAGGGGAGAGGGUUCAUUAGUGCCCGUAAUUAUUUAAUUAGCGCUAAUUAAGAGCCAUUAAUUAGGCAAUCAAUGGACCCCCCCCCCCUGCUCCCCCAUUGAGAUGAAUGAAGUCUGAGGACCCCCAUUGAAAUGACAUGAAGUCUGAUGCCCCCCCCAAAGCGAAGGUCGGACACAUUGAAUGGCUGCACCUAAAGGAAGGGGAAGGAUUAAUUAUACCCCAGUAAUUAGUUAAUUAGUCCUAAUUAAGACCCAUUAAUUAGGCAUUGAAUGGACCCCCCCCCCCUCUUCCCAUUGAAAUGAAUGAAGGAGCAAUCUGAGGCCCCCCCAACAAUUGAAGCCUGGACACAUUGAAUGGCUGCACCUUAAAGGAAGGGGAAAGGAUUCAUUAGUGCCGUAAUUAGUUAAUUAGCGCUAAUUAAGACCCAUUAAUUAAGGCAAUCAAUUGACCCCCCCCCCCCGUCCUCCCAUUGAAAUGAAGAAGUCUGAUGCCCCCCCAAAGCGAAGGCCGACACAUUGAAUGGCUGCACCUAAAGGAAGGGAGAGGGUUCAUUAGUGCCCAUUAAUUAGUUAAUUAGCGCUAAUUAAGACCCAUUAAUUAGGCAAUCAAUGCCCCCCCCCCCCCUCUCCAUUGAAAUAAAUGCAAUCUGAGACCCA
This is a long non-coding RNA of Coturnix japonica (Japanese quail), 3877 nucleotides long. The record is from Ensembl. Lineage: Eukaryota; Metazoa; Chordata; Aves; Galliformes; Phasianidae.